AGUGGAAACAGUGGAACCUAACCGCCUGAAAAGCGGAAGGUCGCCGGUUCGAUCCCGGCCCUGGCCA
RNAcentral lists this transfer RNA (67 nucleotides) under Gordonia polyisoprenivorans VH2. Its description in RNAcentral is "tRNA-Phe (GAA) (tRNA-Phe-GAA-2-1)". It matches the Rfam family "tRNA", at positions 9 to 71 of the family's 71-position model. Rfam says of the family: Transfer RNA (tRNA) molecules are approximately 80 nucleotides in length. Lineage: Bacteria; Bacillati; Actinomycetota; Actinomycetes; Mycobacteriales; Gordoniaceae. RNAcentral also lists the same sequence under 1 other name. The record is from RNAcentral.